GCGAGGGUAAGCCAAUCUCAGAAAACCGAUCGUAGUCCGGAUUGGAGUCUGCAACUCGACUCCAUGAAGUCGGAAUCGCUAGUAAUCGCGAAUCAGCAUGUCGCGGUGAAUACGUUCCCGGGCCUUGUACACACCGCCCGUCACACCAUGGGAGUGGAUUCCACCAGAAGCAGGUAGCUUAACCUUCGGGAGGGCGCUUGCCACGGUGAGGUUCAUGACUGGGGUGAAGUCGUAACAAGGUAGCCGUUGGGGAACCAGCGGCUGGAUCACCUCCUUA
Molecule: ribosomal RNA, 277 nt
Filed under: Sulfurovum zhangzhouensis
Lineage: Bacteria; Pseudomonadati; Campylobacterota; Epsilonproteobacteria; Campylobacterales; Sulfurovaceae
Description: partial 16S ribosomal RNA
Rfam family: Bacterial small subunit ribosomal RNA
Source: RNAcentral